Molecule: long non-coding RNA, 418 nt
Filed under: Mytilus galloprovincialis (Mediterranean mussel)
Lineage: Eukaryota; Metazoa; Mollusca; Bivalvia; Mytilida; Mytilidae
Source: RNAcentral
GUUCCGUUGUAUAUUGAACUUUGAACCUGAGUUUGAUAAAGAUUAAGACAUAUAUAAACCUAUGUUUGAGAGUCGAACGUCAUCAACAUAAUUAAGUGAAAGCGACUGAUUAAUGUAUAACAAACACCACCUGAUGUUUUUAUUUAAAGCAGUGAGUUCAAAUCACAUGAUGGAAACACCAUAUACUCGUUAAUUGUAAUGUAAGGCUGAAACACUUAUACGGCAAAGAUGACCUUGGUUCUGCUCUUUUGAAUUGUGUUAUAAUUUGUUAUGACGGGCCGAAUUACACAGUAAGGGAUUUGCUCAUUUACUUAAUUAGAUAUCUGGUGGAUAGUUGUCCAAUUGUCAAUCAUACCACAUUGUUAUAUCUUUAUAUUAAGCACUCUCGUCGUUUUUUUUUUUUUUUUUUUUUUUUAAU